AGUCACCAUAUGAUCCCCGGAUGAGGACG
RNAcentral lists this non-coding RNA (29 nucleotides) under Cricetulus griseus (Chinese hamster). The record is from RNAcentral. Lineage: Eukaryota; Metazoa; Chordata; Mammalia; Rodentia; Cricetidae.